RNAcentral lists this RNase P RNA (306 nucleotides) under Candidatus Methanofilum arcanum. RNAcentral's name for it is "RNase P RNA component". It matches the Rfam family "Archaeal RNase P". Rfam says of the family: Ribonuclease P (RNase P) is a ubiquitous endoribonuclease, found in archaea, bacteria and eukarya as well as chloroplasts and mitochondria. Its best characterised activity is the generation of mature 5'-ends of tRNAs by cleaving the 5'-leader elements of precursor-tRNAs. Cellular RNase Ps are ribonucleoproteins. Lineage: Archaea; Methanobacteriati; Methanobacteriota; Methanomicrobia; Methanomicrobiales; Methanospirillaceae. The record is from RNAcentral.
GAGAGAGAGAGAGCGGCUAACGGGAGUUGUCUACUUUUGACGAACUACUGAGGAAAGUCCCCCCAUCAAUUGGGUACGCAGCCACAUUCACUUGUGGAUGGCGAGAGUCAUGGCAAUGGCACAGAAACGAUACGUCCUCCUGGGAGCAAUGAUGCAUGCUGAGCAAUGUUCAGGAAAUGACGAUGGAACGGUGAAUCCCUGCGGAUGCAAGUCAGAACAGAAGAAUAUAUGUAACCCAAUGCAUCUUCGGGUUUGACGCAGUAGCUGAAUGCCGCAAGAACAGAAGGGGGCUUACUCCUCUCACUC